This 253-nucleotide ribosomal RNA is filed under the name uncultured bacterium. Its description in RNAcentral is "partial 16S ribosomal RNA". It matches the Rfam family "Bacterial small subunit ribosomal RNA", at positions 524 to 776 of the family's 1533-position model. The record is from RNAcentral.
UACGUAGGGUGCAAGCGUUGUCCGGAAUUAUUGGGCGUAAAGAGCGUGUAGGCGGUUCGAUAAGUUUGCUGUAAAAGUCGGGGGCUCAACCCCCGAAAGCCGGUGAAUACUGUCGGACUAGAGUACGGAAGAGGCGAGUGGAAUUCCUGGUGUAGCGGUGAAAUGCGCAGAUAUCAGGAGGAACACCAAUUGCGAAGGCAGCUCGCUGGGACGUAACUGACGCUGAGACGCGAAAGCGUGGGGAGCAAACAGG